This 1755-nucleotide long non-coding RNA is filed under the name Sus scrofa (pig). RNAcentral's name for it is "lncRNA (ENSSSCG00055023278.1)". The record is from RNAcentral. Lineage: Eukaryota; Metazoa; Chordata; Mammalia; Artiodactyla; Suidae.
CCUAAAAAAAGACAAGACUAAAGAAUAUCUUUCCUAUUGAUUAGUAGGAAGUCUUUGUAACGCCUGGGGACUAACCUGCAUUGCAAGGCUUCUUAGCCUGCGUGAGGCUCGCCUUUGCCCUGGUUUGUGGGACCCUUUGAUGUGCAGAGGGUUUUCAUCUCAGUGGAGUCAAACGCUUCACCCACGUCAUGGAAAUAUUGCCUUAUAUUUUCUACUAAAUAAUUUCAAGCUUUGUUUCUCACGGUUUGGCCUCAGUCCACCUGGGCUUUAUUCGCAUGUGUGCUGUCCGAAAAGAAUCUAAUUUCGUGUUCCCCGAUGGCUUGCCAGUGGCUGUACGCACCCCGUUUCAUGCUCUGGUUUCCCCGGUGGGCUGAGGCCCUGAGUCCUGUUCCCCAGUAUCAGCAUUUACAAAUACGCGAGGAUUUUCCUCUGCAAGGGCUCAGCGCUCAACACACUGACGUCUGCGCCGGCUCUGGGGACAGGCCCAGCUGGAGCCUGCAGCUGUGGCUGUGUCCGUGUCCCUCGGGAAGGGGCUGCCGAGAUGCAUACGGUCUCCGCUUCCUGUGGCCGCCGAAACAAAGGACCCCACACAUGGUGCCUUCCAGUGACAGAAGGUUCUGCUCUCACCGUGCAGGAGGCCAGACCUCUGCCAUCAAGGUGUUAGUAGGGUGGAUUCCUUCUGGAGGCUGCAAGCGAGAAUCUGUUCCGUCGCGCCUCUCUCCUACCUUCUUGUGGCCUUUGGAAUUUCUUGGCAUUGGUUGGCUUGUGGACGCUUAGCUCCACCCUCUGCCCUGUCCUUCCGGGGCCUUCUCCUCUGCGGCUCUGUGCCUGAUUCCCCCAAGGAUUGCCCGGGGAUUCACGGUCCACCGUCACCUAAGAUGUUGGCAUCUUGAGAGCCUGUAUUAGAUCUGCCAGACUCUUUUUCCAGGUAAGGUCACAUUCAGACCUUCUGGGUGGAUGUAUCUUUUGAGGCUCACCAUUCAACCCAUUUCUGGGUACGAUCCGUAGUGGGGAGAAGGGUUUCUACUCACAGAGGCUAGAAAGGAGCCUUUCUUCAAUGGUCACUUUCCCUCACCGACACCCUCUUCCUUCUGACGCCCUUGCUGGCAAGUUAGGCGCCCGAUCUGCCAUUUUUCUUUUCUUUCCAACCCCGCUCCCAAAUCCCGUGGUGUUAUCCCAGCCCUGGAAAUAAUAUCGAAAAGUUGGACAUAACCCCCAGGAGAGGAGGUAAUUACUUAAUUACUUCCAUAACAUUUGUUUAUUGUGCAAACUUACUGAGACACUUAGAGGUCAAUGGGGAAAGGAGACAGCCUAGAAUAAGAGGGCUCAGGUGCUGCCUCCAGGGUGAGCUGGGAACGUUGCACAUGUGAUGACCCAAAGGAUCACAUAAUGUGAAUUAGAAAGUGGAUUACCCAGGAAAAUCUUAGGUGUGAUCCAGGGUCCCAAAGCUCAUCUGAGUCCCGGAAAUCAGGUCACAAGGGCCAAGUCAACUCUGGCAGGCCAGGCUGAGCUGGGAAGGAGAUUUCAAGAGGAGGGCAGCCUGAACAACAUCGGCAGGUAUCACCCUACCUGGCUGGAUCCCAAGACUGACCACAAAAUGGGUUAAGGAUCCAGCAUUGCCUUGAGCUGUGGUGUAGGUCGCAGACGCGGCUUGGAUCCCGAGUUGCUGUGGCCCUGGUGUAGGCAGUGGCUACAGCUCCGAUUCGACCCCUAACCUGGGAACCUCCAUAUGCCGUGGGAGCAGCCCUAGAAAAG